RNAcentral lists this ribosomal RNA (775 nucleotides) under uncultured Sphingobacterium sp. RNAcentral's name for it is "bacterial SSU rRNA". It matches the Rfam family "Bacterial small subunit ribosomal RNA", at positions 106 to 882 of the family's 1533-position model. The record is from RNAcentral. Lineage: Bacteria; Pseudomonadati; Bacteroidota; Sphingobacteriia; Sphingobacteriales; Sphingobacteriaceae.
GUGCGUAACACGUAUGUAACCUACCUUCGUCAGGGGGAUAGCCUCUCGAAAGAGAGAUUAAGACCGCAUAACAUUGUAAUGUGGCAUCACAAAACAAUCAAAUAUUUAUAGGACGAAGAUGGGCAUGCGGAACAUUAGCUAGUUGGUGAGGUAACUGCUCACCAAGGCAACGAUGUUUAGGGGAUCUGAGAGGAUGACCCCCCACACUGGUACUGAGACACGGACCAGACUCCUACGGGAGGCAGCAGUAAGGAAUAUUGGUCAAUGGGCGGAAGCCUGAACCAGCCAUGCCGCGUGCAGGAAGACGGCCCUAUGGGUUGUAAACUGCUUUUGCAGGGGAAUAAACCUCCGUUCGUGAACGGAGCUGAAUGUACUCUGAGAAUAAGGAUCGGCUAACUCCGUGCCAGCAGCCGCGGUAAUACGGAGGAUCCGAGCGUUAUCCGGAUUUAUUGGGUUUAAAGGGUGCGUAGGUGGCCUGUUAAGUCAGGGGUGAAAGACGGUAGCUUAACUAUCGCAGUGCCCUUGAUACUGAUGGGCUUGAAUGAACUAGAGGUAGGCGGAAUGUGACAAGUAGCGGUGAAAUGCAUAGAUAUGUCACAGAACACCAAUUGCGAAGGCAGCUUACUAUGGUUUUAUUGACACUGAGGCACGAAAGCGUGGGGAUCAAACAGGAUUAGAUACCCUGGUAGUCCACGCCCUAAACGAUGAAUACUCGAUGUUGGCGAUAUACGGUCAGCGUCUAAGCGAAAGCGUUAAGUAUUCCACCUGGGGAGUA